Molecule: unclassified non-coding RNA, 349 nt
Filed under: Chytridiomycota sp.
Lineage: Eukaryota; Fungi; Chytridiomycota
Description: partial contains small subunit ribosomal RNA, internal transcribed spacer 1, and 5.8S ribosomal RNA
Rfam family: Eukaryotic small subunit ribosomal RNA (bases 1-47)
Source: RNAcentral
AAAGUCGUAACAAGGUAACCGUAGGUGAACCUGCGGUUGGAUCAUUAACCAAAGCAUGGGUUGCUUAGAAUCGCCUUACGUGUACACGUCCACUUUUUCACGAAAGAGUGGAUGGUAUGCGUAUCCUUCGGGAACAUUGUGUGCACUGUUGUGUCUCUGGCGGCGGGGCAAGUAGUGGGCAUAUUCAAAGUAUGCUUCGAUUUUUGCCUGUCAGUCUGGUUGUAAAAAGCCAGGACCGUGGACAAACCGCCAAAUUAUUAAACAACUUAUAUUCUUCAACUUCAAUGUCUGACAUCAUGUUUAUAUUAAAUUAUACAAACAACUUUUGGCAACGGAUCUCUUGGCUCUC